Molecule: ribosomal RNA, 253 nt
Filed under: uncultured bacterium
Lineage: Bacteria
Description: partial 16S ribosomal RNA
Rfam family: Bacterial small subunit ribosomal RNA
Source: RNAcentral
GACGUAGGGUGCAAGCGUUGUCCGGAAUUACUGGGCGUAAAGGGCGCGUAGGCGGCCUGUUAAGUGUAUAGUGAAAGCCCGGGGCUCAACCCCGGAACUGCUGUGCAUACUGGCAGGCUUGAGGGAUGCAGAGGCUUGUGGAAUUCCUGGUGUAGCGGUGAAAUGCGUUGAUAUCAGGAGGAACACCCAUGGCGAAGGCAGCAAGCUGGGCAUCAUCUGACGCUGAGGCGCGAAAGCGUGGGGAGCAAACAGG